Homo sapiens (human) is the source of this 106-nucleotide small nuclear RNA. NCBI's taxonomy places the organism in Eukaryota, Metazoa, Chordata, Mammalia, Primates, Hominidae. The record is from Ensembl.
AUGCUUGCUUCAAUAGCACAUACACUAAAAUUGGAAUGACAUAGAGAAUAUUAGCAUGACCCUGUGCAAGGAUGACAUGCAAAUUCAUAAAGCAUUCCAUAUUUUU